This 904-nucleotide ribosomal RNA is filed under the name uncultured archaeon. RNAcentral describes it as "bacterial SSU rRNA". It matches the Rfam family "Archaeal small subunit ribosomal RNA", at positions 27 to 907 of the family's 1478-position model. The record is from RNAcentral.
CUGCUAUCGGGAUGAAGACUAAGCCAUGCGAGUUGCGCGCUUCCUAGCCAUGUGGAGACGCAGCAUACGGCUCAGUAACACGUAGUCAAUCUGCCCUUGGGACGAGAAUAACCCUGGGAAACUGGGGCUAAUCCUCGAUAGGCGCAGUGGCCUGGAACGGUAUUGCACUGAAAAGGUUCUGAGAACAUGCUCUUGGAAUUGCCCAAGGAUGAGACUGCGACCGAUCAGGUUGUUGGUAGGGUAAUGGCCUACCAAGCCUAUAACCGGUACGGGCCCUGAGAGGGGGAGCCCGGAGAUGGGAACUGAGACAAGGUCCCAGGUCCUACGGGGCGCAGCAGGCGCGAAAACUCCACAAUGCGCGAAUGCGUGAUGGGGUUAACCCGAGUGCCGUCCGAUGAGGAUGGCUUUUCUUCAGUCUAAGGAUCUGGAGGAAUAAAGGGGGGGCAAGACUGGUGUCAGCCGCCGCGGUAAUACCAGCCCCCUGAGUGGUAGGGACGAUUAUUUGGCCUAAAGCGUCCGUAGCUGGCUUGGUAAGUCUUUCGUAAAAUCCGACGAUUCAACCGUUGGGUCGCGGAAGAUACUGCUAGGCUUGAGGACGGGAGAGGUCGACGGUAGUCCCAGGGUAGGGGUGAAAUCCUAUAAUCCUGGGAGGACCACCAGUGGCGAAGGCGGUCGACUAGAACGUGCCUGACGGUGAUGGACGAAAGCUGGGGGAGCGAACCGGAUUAGACACCCGGGUAGUCCCAGCUGUAAACGAUGCGAGCUAGGUGUUGGAGCAACUACGGGUUGCUCCAGUGCCGCAGAGAAGUUGUUAAGCUCGCCGCCUGGGAAGUACGGCCGCAAGGCUGAAACUUAAAGGAAUUGGCGGGGGAGCACCACAAGGGGUGAAGCCUGCGGUUCAAUU